GACGAACGCUGGCGGCGUGCUUACCACAUGCAAGUCGAACGGUAAGGCCCUUCGGGGUACACGAGUGGCGAACGGGUGAGUAACACGUGGGUGAUCUGCCCUGCACUUCGGGAUAAGCCUGGGAAACUGGGUCUAAUACCGGAUAGGACCACUGCCUGCAUGGGUGGUGGUGGAAAGCUUUUGCGGGGUGGGAUGGGCCCGCGGCCUAUCAGCUUGUUGGUGGGGUGAUGGCCUACCCAGGCGACGACGGGUAGCCGGCCUGUGAGGGUGACCGACCACGCUGGGACUGAGAUGCGGCCCAGACUCAUGCGGGAGGCAGCAGUGGGGAAUAUUGCACAGUGGGCGCAAGCCUGAUGCAGCGACGCCGCGUGAGGGAUGACGGCCUUCGGGUUGUAAACCUCUUUCAGCACCGACGAAGCGCAAGCGACGGUAGGUGCAGAAGAAGGACCGGCCAACUACGUGCCAGCAGCCGCGGUAA
Molecule: ribosomal RNA, 478 nt
Filed under: uncultured bacterium
Lineage: Bacteria
Description: partial 16S ribosomal RNA
Rfam family: Bacterial small subunit ribosomal RNA
Source: RNAcentral